UGGUUCCUUCUGGCGGCAGGGCUGGGACGACAUGUGGCACAGCUAUGCCUACGGCAAAGCCGUUGGCAUAGAUAUUUAUGCCGUCGGCUUUGCCGUCGGCUUUGCCGUAGGCAUAGCCCUGCCACGUGGCGCGCGCCCCUGGUGUCACGACAGCCAUCUAUGCCUACAGCAUUGCCGUCAGCAUAGUUGCUGACCAGAACCAAAAAAAAGAUUAGCCAACAAGGCUAGCUAUUUACCAAUGCUUAUACAAACAUGAUUCAACAGCCAUGGAUUUGCAAACACAGACCAUAGUAUAUUUUUUAUGUACAUAACAUUUCCAUUCUAAGAAUCCACAACAACAUUAUAGGAGGCCGAGGGGCGGUGGUGGGGGAGACAAGGCUGCAACGAUGGAGGUGGCAUACAGUCAGUACAACAAACAAAAGAUCCUACAUAUGAGGAUGAAUAUGUAAUCUAUACAUUAAAUUUACCAAAAGAAAAUCACCUAGAACUAAAAAGGCAGAAAAUUAUUGCUUUUGUUAUAGAUAACUUGUCAUGUUGGUGCUUGAACCGAACAAUACUACUAAUACAUACAGUACAGAGAUGCUCCAGUUUCGGUUGUAUCUAUCAAGCAUCAGUUCUUGUUCAAGGCAAGCUUCAAAGAGAAAAAGAGUGGUGCUGAUUCAUAUGUAUAUAUGUAUAUACAGAAGAUGCAAGUGUCAUCAAGUUCGCUUUAGUCAAAGUAAAAACAAAUGGACACAUACAAAACUGAACCAAGGGUGGUGCUGAUUCAUGUGUAUGUACAGAUUGAGGUGCCAGCCAGUUGGUUUCACUCAAAGUUCAACCAAAAAAAUUGACACAUACAAAUUGAAGAAAAGUGUGGUCCUGAUUCAUAUGUAUGUAUGUACAGGAGAUGCAAGUGCCACCAAGAUAGAUAGUUUCAGUCAAAAGUAAAAAACAAUUGGAUACAUACAAACUGAAGCAAACCGUCGUGCUUUUUCAUGUGUACAUACAAAAGAUGCAAGUGGUAUCCAUAAUUUGGAUAUAGGUAGUACGCUCAUGUGGUGAAUUUUGUGAAUCUAUACUCUGCAUCUACCAAAAGGAUCACCCCCCUCACAUGCAAAUAUAAUUCAGUCCAAUGGCUUUCUUCUCCCCUCACAUGCAUAAGACGAGAGCAGACCAUCUAAACAGGCGGACCAGACCUUCACCUUGGGAGAGAGGCGAGUGCUACCUGUUGCCAUGUCGUCGUCGAGCUCGGGUGGUCCUCCUCCUCCUCCUCGAGCAAGACAAGGUUGUUUCUCCCCUACACUCCAAUGGCCAUCUUCUCCAAGGACAUCUACAAGGCCAGAACACACCAUUGAUGCAAGUGUCACCAAGAUAGUUUCAGUCAAAGUUAAAGCAAAUGUAAAUAUGCAAACUGAACCAAACCGAGGUGCAUGUUCAUAUGUGUGUGUAUGUAGAGAUGCAAGUGCAAUCUGAAUUUUGGGGAACCAAAGCAUGGUUGUUGUCGUUGUUGUUGCUACUUUAGCAGCAACAACAUCCUUGAAACCAAACAAGGGGCAAGUUGUUUUAGCAGCAGCGCAUACUAGUAAUUAGCUAGGACCAUUAUUAUUGAACAACCAUUCGAGGACGGUGGCAGACACAUCAAUCUCAUAAGGCUCUACUGGAGAAACAAAAGCAUAGGAUAUGUGAUGCUGGCAAUCUUAGCACAAGAAGAAAAAAACACAGCCUCUCCGAUAGAAUGGAUGGAUGCAUCAUGCACAAUCAUCGGUUCCAUCAUUGCAGCACUAGUUGAGCAACAAAUCAAAUAUAACAGUAGUUCCAUUCGUUCAGCCAACAAGUUAACAAAAGUUUACUUCCCACUACUAAUUUUGCAACUUGUCAUAAUAAAGAAAACAGAGCUCAAAAUCACAGCAACAAAAGCAGUAGACUGGGAGCCUGGAACCAUGCAAACCAAAUCGCAGAGCAGAAAAAUAACAGUACUACCUGGAGCAAUAAGAAACUCAACGGCCUAGGGCAACAUUUGGAAGGAGACAAGCAAGUACUACAACAGCUAGCUGGGCUGAAUUGAAGAUUAACCAAAAUCAUAUCAAGUAUUUGUUGAGCAUGAUUAUACACGGGAAGGGGAAGGGGUUCACGGCAGGGACCUUUAGGUCAUGACCUGGCUUGCAUCUCUCCUCCUCAUGUGCAUUGGUUUGCAUCCAAUCCUUGCAGUCCAAUCCAUGGAAGUCCCUCCCUCCCUGCAUCUCUAGAACACGACACUUAAAUUUCAUCAACUUCCAUUGCUACUGAUAAAAGAGGAGCAAGAUGUAUAUGCUGCAUAAAUCAUACAUGGAGAAGCAAGUUGCUUGAAAACAGAGGAGGUCCAUGAUGGUUGUUCUCAUUCGCAACAGAAAAACUCAGAAAAAUGCACAAGUGCAUGCUAUCUAUGGAUACACCAACUCUAUCAGUACCUGGCACCCAAACUAAGAAAAAAAUUCAUUCAUAUGCAGCAACCUAAACUCAACUUUGAGAGAGCGGACUGAUUAACAUUUUUUUGUUGGGUCGAAUUUUUCACAAAUAUAGAUAGUGUAACGCCCGUGAAAUUAAAUUAUGCAAAGUAGUAUAGUAGUAAUAUUUUAAGCCAAUUAUAGAGAUUAUCGGAUGGAUUGAUAGCUUGCACUAAUAAUAUAUAUGAUGGAUGCCACUGUUUAAGAAUUAGCAGUAGUUGCUUAGAACCCAAAUGCAUGUACACGUACUGGUCUAGGCAGACUUUUUUUUCUUUCCCUUAAUUUGUGAGAAGAGUUAGACCAGAUAUUUUGCUCAACAAGUAGCUGGCUGUAGGAAGGGUCGAGGAGGCAACUGAAAAUAAAAUGUUUAGUAAAUGGAAAUGAUUAUGCUGCUGACUCAGGUACAGGCCAGCAAGCUUAUCUAUUCCUGUUGUCAGACAUACGUGUCAAUUAGAGCAAUUUUACUUACUGUCUAUUCCUGCACGCCUAUAUAAAGGGCCAAGGGCCGGGUAGCUGGACCUCACACCACAACCAUUGUCUCUCUUCACUAGAGGUAGUAGUAGUAGAGCCGUAGCUGCUGGUGCAGAGCAGGCGUUAGAAAUCUUGCUGCUGUGUCAAGAGAAUCGGGAGAAGGCAAGCAUGCGUUCCAUCUAGCUUCUCCAGAUGUCCUGUUCCUUCUCUUUCUUUACUCAUGCCAUGCCGCUGUUGCUAGUACUUCUCUAUAUGGCUAGUCUGUAGCACUAUUCUUGUUGUUAAUUCUUUCACCUCAGCUAGUGUGUCCUUGUACAGUACGCAUGGUGGUUUGGUUCUGCAUGCUAGUUGUGAAAGAUGCAUGCGUCCUAUCUCCCAAGAACUCCUCUAGAUUAAUUUGUCUUUUCUCUCUUUCUAUCUUGUACCACAUGCCUUGUUCUAACUAAGUACGCCUCACUUUUACUUGUUGGACCUGUACACUCGUUAUGCUAAGAAUAGCACAUGCAAGACUAGCUAAUCUUGUGCAGAAGCUAGGGAUGAUAUAUUGGUGAUCUUUUGAGAUAAUAUUUCCUCUUCUAAUGUUCCAGUCCUAAUGAAAAAUCUAACACUAAGGCAUCACGAUGGCAAAAACAUUGUACCGGUCACAGUUUUUCCCUGCUACAUGUGUGCUUGCUGAGUAUGUUAUCAUACUCAUUCUUGCUAUCUUUUUUUUUUGCAGAGAUGAGCAAUGGAAAUGAUGGUGAACAGUAGAAGUAGUACUACGGGAGGGGAUGAAAUAAAGAAACUUGCAUGCAUGUACUAGCAAGAACACUUGUAGUCGUUCCUAUGAUAAUGAAUAAAAAUGAUUCCAGUGUACUACCUUGGUUAACCUGAUGGCCUAACAUGCUUAUAAAUUUGAAUUGAAUUUAUAAGCAUGUGGCAAUUGUCACUGCUAUGUUUUGGGGCGUGACAGAUAGAAGCACUCCAAAAGCUACAUAAUAAAUCAUAGAGGCUGGCCGAACUAAUUGGCGCACUCAAACGAUACAAGAGAGCGGCCCGAUGGACAACUAAGCAAGCAUACACAGCAAGUAAAACUACAUCACCAAUAUUAUGUAAUUAACUGGAAGCUCUUGUUCAUCAUACCAGUACAAAUAUACUAUCUAUAUCUAUACUUUAAUCAUGCAGUCAAUUGAAGUAAAAGCUGGCUCGGCCAGGAAUCAAGCCUAGGAUGUGAAUUUGUCACAGGAUUUGUCACAGGAUCCAACUAGGCCACUGUACUUUACUUGUCAAUUGGAGUAAACCGAUUCUUCAUGUACAUUGUAAAGUAGUGCUAAAGUUCCCUUGAACGUGAUUCCACGUGUACGUGGAGAAUACAUGUGAAUAUGUGUGUCCGAGUAGGACUGGAAGUAGACAUGGCUAGGGGCUAUAUACUUAUACACUGGUAAAUUAUGGAAUUGAUUGUAAGCAUCAACAAAGAAAAAAAGAGAUUGUCACGAGCCUAUGGCCAAUAACAAAUUAGAGGACAAACUAAAAAAAGCUAACUAGAGAUUUCCUCUCUGUGUGUAUGUGUUCGUUGUGCUCUGGCCGGUGGGGGGAUGAUAAAAAAAGCAACUACUGCUAUGUAUGUUAGCUUGUCCAUCAGGUUAGAUCAAACUAGCUACCGGUGAAGGAUAUAGCCAGCUUCGUGUGGUGCAGUGCAUCACAUAUUCCUCUACUUAGCAGCAGCAGUAGUGAGCAGAGGAAGGAGGCGGAGGAGAUGGAGGUGCUACCUGCCGAGGUGGGUCGUCGUGGCCGUGCUUGAGCUCGGCAGCGCCCGCCUCCUCGAGCAGGACAAGGCCGCCAGCUAGGUGCGCCCCUCGUCCUCCGCCUCCUCGAGUAGGAAGGACGGCGCCCUCCUGCCGUCGCCGCCGUCCAGACCGCACCAAGGUGACCUGCAGCAAGGGAAGGAAAGGAGAAGGUGAGGUGGGGAGGGUGGAUCCGGGCGAGGAAAGAGGGGAAGGACGUACCUGCGCCACGCCCGUAACGGAUCUGUCGAGCUCUGGCCUCGCCGUCGCCGGAUCUGGCUGAUCCCGGCGAUGUUAGGGGUGGCGGUCGAAACCCUAGCUAGCCACGGGGUCGGUGGAGGACGGGAGCGCUGAUUCUGGACGGAGGGGAGGGUGGAGCGGACCUAGGGGAGCUCGGGGGUGUGCUGCGCGCCGCCGGAGCUCGCCGGAACCAGCCGGCGUCGGUGGUGGCGGCGGCGAGGGAGAGGGGUUCGUGGGGGAGAGAGGAUUCGCGAGAGACAGAGAGGUUCGUGGGGAGAGAGCGAGGUGCGAGAGACAGAGGGGUGGG
This 5246-nucleotide long non-coding RNA is filed under the name Triticum aestivum (bread wheat). Its description in RNAcentral is "long non-coding RNA (TAES_LNC007644)". The record is from RNAcentral. Lineage: Eukaryota; Viridiplantae; Streptophyta; Magnoliopsida; Poales; Poaceae.